RNAcentral lists this ribosomal RNA (840 nucleotides) under Flavobacteriaceae bacterium ACEMC 10-3. Its description in RNAcentral is "bacterial SSU rRNA". It matches the Rfam family "Bacterial small subunit ribosomal RNA", at positions 45 to 882 of the family's 1533-position model. The record is from RNAcentral. Lineage: Bacteria; Pseudomonadati; Bacteroidota; Flavobacteriia; Flavobacteriales; Flavobacteriaceae.
GGCUUAACACAUGCAGUCGAGGGGUAACAGGAGUAGCUUGCUACUUGCUGACGACCGGCGCACGGGUGCGUAACGCGUAUACAAUCUACCUUAUACUGGGGAAUAGCCUUUGGAAACGAAGAUUAAUGCCCCAUAGUAUUAUUGAAUGGCAUCGUUUAAUAAUUAAAACUCCGGUGGUAUAAGAUGAGUAUGCGUUCUAUUAGUUAGUUGGUAAGGUAACGGCUUACCAAGACAUCGAUAGAUAGGGGUCCUGAGAGGGAGAUCCCCCACACUGGUACUGAGACACGGACCAGACUCCUACGGGAGGCAGCAGUGAGGAAUAUUGGACAAUGGGCGCAAGCCUGAUCCAGCCAUGCCGCGUGCAGGAAGACUGCCCUAUGGGUUGUAAACUGCUUUUAUAUGGGAAGAAUAAGGGGUACGUGUACUCUGAUGACGGUACCAUAAGAAUAAGCACCGGCUAACUCCGUGCCAGCAGCCGCGGUAAUACGGAGGGUGCAAGCGUUAUCCGGAAUCAUUGGGUUUAAAGGGUCCGUAGGCGGGCAUAUAAGUCAGUGGUGAAAUGCUGUGGCUCAACCAUAGCACUGCCAUUGAUACUGUAUGUCUUGAAUUAUUGUGAAGUGGUUAGAAUAUGUAGUGUAGCGGUGAAAUGCUUAGAUAUUACAUAGAAUACCGAUUGCGAAGGCAGAUCACUAACAAUAUAUUGACGCUGAUGGACGAAAGCGUAGGUAGCGAACAGGAUUAGAUACCCUGGUAGUCUACGCCGUAAACGAUGGAUACUAGUUGUUUGGCUUUCGGGCUGAGUGACUAAGCGAAAGUGAUAAGUAUCCCACCUGGGGAGUA